AAGUCGUAACAAGGUUUCCGUAGGUGAACCUGCGGAAGGAUCAUUAAUGAGUACCGGUACCCUCGAGGUGCCUACUCCCACCCUUUGUUUACUUAUAACCGUUGCUUUGGCGGACCGGUGCCUAGCACCCUCCGGCUCCAGCUGGAGAGCGUCCGCCAGAGGAUCUUAAACCCGUUCUAACAGUGGCAUCUGAGUUAAACUUAAAUAAACUAAAACUUUCAACAACGGAUCUCUUGGUUCUG
RNAcentral lists this unclassified non-coding RNA (242 nucleotides) under air metagenome. RNAcentral's name for it is "partial contains small subunit ribosomal RNA, internal transcribed spacer 1, and 5.8S ribosomal RNA". The stretch from base 1 to 46 matches the Rfam family "Eukaryotic small subunit ribosomal RNA", at positions 1786 to 1831 of the family's 1831-position model. The record is from RNAcentral.